This 751-nucleotide small RNA is filed under the name Pan troglodytes (chimpanzee). RNAcentral describes it as "processed transcript". Lineage: Eukaryota; Metazoa; Chordata; Mammalia; Primates; Hominidae. The record is from RNAcentral.
GGUAAGCGCUGACGGGCAGCGGGCGGGGGCUGGGCCUUGGCCGGGGGCCUGAGGUAGGGCCCGGCGGGGCAGGGCGGGGCGGGACGGCGGCGGAGGUGCCGAGUCACCCGGGCCUGAGUCCGGCCUGCAGGCUCAUCGGCCGCACCGGGCACAAGCAGGACCCUUGACCACUAACCGCCUGUGGUCGCGUCCGCCGGUCCUGAACGUGGCUCGCAUUCCGUCUCAGCCGGACUUGCCCUCCUUGACGAAAGAAAGGAAGUUCUCUUUCAACAUGUUCGACCACCCUAUUCCCAGGGUCUUCCAAAACCGCUUCUCCACACAGUACCGCUGCUUCUCUGUGUCCAUGCUAGCAGGGCCUAAUGACAGGUCAGAUGUGGAGAAAGGAGGGAAGAUAAUUAUGCCGCCCUCAGCCCUGGACCAACUCAGCCGACUUAACAUUACCUAUCCCAUGCUGUUCAAACUGACCAAUAAGAAUUCGGACCGCAUGACGCAUUGUGGCGUGCUGGAGUUUGUGGCUGAUGAGGGCAUCUGCUACCUCCCACACUGGAUGAUGCAGAACUUACUCUUGGAAGAAGGCGGCCUGGUCCAGGUGGAGAGCGUCAACCUUCAAGUGGCCACCUACUCCAAAUUCCAACCUCAGAGCCCUGACUUCCUGGACAUCACCAACCCCAAAGCCGUAUUAGAAAACGCACUUAGGAACUUUGCCUGUCUGACCACCGGGGAUGUGAUUGCCAUCAACUAUAAUGAAAAG